UACGGGGGGGGCAAGCGUUGCUCGGAAUCACUGGGCGUAAAGCGCACGUAGGCGGACUCUUAAGUCAGGGGUGAAAUCCUGGAGCUCAACUCCAGAACUGCCUUUGAUACUGAGGAUUCUUGAGUUCGGGAGAGGUGAGUGGAACUGCGAGUGUAGAGGUGAAAUUCGUAGAUAUUCGCAAGAACACCAGUGGCGAAGGCGGCUCACUGGCCCGAUACUGACGCUGAGGCACGAAAGCGUGGGGAGCAAACAGGG
This 255-nucleotide ribosomal RNA is filed under the name uncultured bacterium. RNAcentral's name for it is "partial 16S ribosomal RNA". It matches the Rfam family "Bacterial small subunit ribosomal RNA", at positions 524 to 777 of the family's 1533-position model. The record is from RNAcentral.